AGAGUUUGAUCCUGGCUCAGAUUGAACGCUGGCGGCAGGCCUAACACAUGCAAGUCGAGCGGUAGCACAGAGAGCUUGCUCUCGGGUGACGAGCGGCGGACGGGUGAGUAAUGUCUGGGAAACUGCCCGAUGGAGGGGGAUAACUACUGGAAACGGUAGCUAAUACCGCAUAACGUCGCAAGACCAAAGAGGGGGACCUUCGGGCCUCUUGCCAUCGGAUGUGCCCAGAUGGGAUUAGCUAGUAGGUGGGGUAACGGCUCACCUAGGCGACGAUCCCUAGCUGGUCUGAGAGGAUGACCAGCCACACUGGAACUGAGACACGGUCCAGACUCCUACGGGAGGCAGCAGUGGGGAAUAUUGCACAAUGGGCGCAAGCCUGAUGCAGCCAUGCCGCGUGUAUGAAGAAGGCCUUCGGGUUGUAAAGUACUUUCAGCGGGGAGGAAGGUGUUGAGGUUAAUAACCUCAGCAAUUGACGUUACCCGCAGAAGAAGCACCGGCUAACUCCGUGCCAGCAGCCGCGGUAAUACGGAGGGUGCAAGCGUUAAUCGGAAUUACUGGGCGUAAAGCGCACGCAGGCGGUCUGUCAAGUCGGAUGUGAAAUCCCCGGGCUCAACCUGGGAACUGCAUUCGAAACUGGCAGGCUUGAGUCUCGUAGAGGGGGGUAGAAUUCCAGGCGUAGCGGUGAAAUGCGUAGAGAUCUGGAGGAAUACCGGUGGCGAAGGCGGCCCCCUGGACGAAGACUGACGCUCAGGUGCGAAAGCGUGGGGAGCAAACAGGAUUAGAUACCCUGGUAGUCCACGCCGUAAACGAUGUCUAUUUGGAGGUUGUGCCCUUGAGGCGUGGCUUCCGGAGCUAACGCGUUAAAUAGACCGCCUGGGGAGUACGGCCGCAAGGUUAAAACUCAAAUGAAUUGACGGGGGCCCGCACAAGCGGUGGAGCAUGUGGUUUAAUUCGAUGCAACGCGAAGAACCUUACCUACUCUUGACAUCCAGAGAACUUUCCAGAGAUGGAUUGGUGCCUUCGGGAACUCUGAGACAGGUGCUGCAUGGCUGUCGUCAGCUCGUGUUGUGAAAUGUUGGGUUAAGUCCCGCAACGAGCGCAACCCUUAUCCUUUGUUGCCAGCGGUUAGGCCGGGAACUCAAAGGAGACUGCCAGUGAUAAACUGGAGGAAGGUGGGGAUGACGUCAAGUCAUCAUGGCCCUUACGAGUAGGGCUACACACGUGCUACAAUGGCGUAUACAAAGAGAAGCGACCUCGCGAGAGCAAGCGGACCUCAUAAAGUACGUCGUAGUCCGGAUUGGAGUCUGCAACUCGACUCCAUGAAGUCGGAAUCGCUAGUAAUCGUGGAUCAGAAUGCUACGGUGAAUACGUUCCCGGGCCUUGUACACACCGCCCGUCACACCAUGGGAGUGGGUUGCAAAAGAAGUAGGUAGCUUAACCUUCGGGAGGGCGCUUACCACUUUGUGAUUCAUGACUGGGGUGAAGUCGUAACAAGGUAACCGUA
This 1504-nucleotide ribosomal RNA is filed under the name Enterobacter sp. Accc2. RNAcentral describes it as "bacterial SSU rRNA". It matches the Rfam family "Bacterial small subunit ribosomal RNA". Lineage: Bacteria; Pseudomonadati; Pseudomonadota; Gammaproteobacteria; Enterobacterales; Enterobacteriaceae. The record is from RNAcentral.